Molecule: ribosomal RNA, 253 nt
Filed under: uncultured bacterium
Lineage: Bacteria
Description: partial 16S ribosomal RNA
Rfam family: Bacterial small subunit ribosomal RNA
Source: RNAcentral
UACGGAGGAUCCAAGCGUUAUCCGGAAUCAUUGGGUUUAAAGGGUCCGUAGGUGGAAGAUUAAGUCAGAGGUGAAAUCCUGCAGCUCAACUGUAGAAUUGCCUUUGAUACUGGUUUUCUUGAGUUAUUAUGAAGUAGUUAGAAUAUGUAGUGUAGCGGUGAAAUGCAUAGAUAUUACAUAGAAUACCAAUUGCGAAGGCAGAUUACUAAUAAUAUACUGACACUGAUGGACGAAAGCGUGGGUAGCGAACGGG